UAAGUUUAUAAAAUUUUAUUAAUUAACAAAUUACAAUUAAUUUACUAAAAAUAUAGCAAAGUCGAAACAGAGUUAAUUUGAUGGUUGAAUUGCAUAUACCAAGUGAAACAUAAAAUCCGCUUCUGUUAUACAAUAUCAUUCUUAUUAUUUUUCCUAAUAGGCAAUAUAUAAUACGUCAAAAGUUAAGCCGAGUGACAGUCCAUAGCGAUUUUGACUUAUCAAUUAUUUACAAAAUACGUACUUUACAACAAAUAAUAAAACUCCAUUGUUGAUUUUGAACUCAAAAACAUAGAAUGUUUUAUUAGUUGUUGGCUGGAUGUGGUACCUAGUCAAAUAGUUCAAAAUUCGUAAUUUUGUAUACGACCUGCACGGCCAUGAAAAAAGAUAGUUAUUGAGCUGAAUUGAAACGAGCUUUCUAAUAUUAAAUUGGCAACAAUAUUUUGGAGAUCUUUAAGAGUCAAAAAUGGAAAAUUAUAUGCAAAUGAAGAUGAUGGCGAAUAAAGAACUGGGUAAGGAAGUCUUGCCACAUAUUUUAAAACGUCAAAGCUCUGCUAAUGAUAAUGUGAAGAAAUUUUCACCAGAAAAAAAAGUCUGCUCAGAACAAAAGACUGAAAGUGGUGGGAAACCAUCCUCGAUUGACAACCACUUUGAUGACAACUCUGCGGAGGGAACAGAACCAUAUAACAUACCUAAGAAAGUGAAAAGAAAGGAUUUUGUUCCAUCAAAGGAGAUACAAAUUGAAAAUAUUCCCAUAUUUACAUCACCCGAUUCAUCACCAAUGAAAGUGUCUGUGGUGUCAGCUAAGAUGACUCCCAUCAAACAUACCAAGCAAAUAUCCAUAAUAAAGAGGAACCUUUACAUUGAGUAAUGAAAAAUUUCCACAUAAUGCUAUAUACAAAAAAAAAUAUAUCCUUAAGAUAAUUGCAUUUUUCCCUUUAUAAAUUUUUUUAUGAAGAACAAUCUUGAUUUAAAGAACGGUUCCAAACAUAACUAUCUCGAAUCUUAUGUAGCAUUUAGGUUUUAGUAAAAAUUUAGUUCUAGGUCUUUGUAAAUACUAUUUUUAUUUCUUAAGUAAACUGUAACAAUCUCCAAGGUGUUAUAUAACAUUUUGAAUCAACCCACUAACUUGCCAGUGUUAUAGCAAUAGCAUAAUGAAUAUUGAUGUAGUAGUUUUGAAAUUUUCAAUAUUAGAAACUUCAAUGUAUGUUAUAGACCUAUUAAAAAUGUGACGAGUAAAAA
Molecule: long non-coding RNA, 1239 nt
Organism: Danaus plexippus (monarch butterfly)
Lineage: Eukaryota; Metazoa; Arthropoda; Insecta; Lepidoptera; Nymphalidae
Exons: 2
Source: RefSeq, a predicted model, not a curated record